RNAcentral lists this ribosomal RNA (235 nucleotides) under uncultured bacterium. RNAcentral describes it as "partial 16S ribosomal RNA". It matches the Rfam family "Bacterial small subunit ribosomal RNA", at positions 536 to 769 of the family's 1533-position model. The record is from RNAcentral.
AAGCGUUAUCCGGAUUUACUGGGUGUAAAGGGAGCGUUAGACGGCACUGCAAGUCUGGAGUGAAAGCCCGGGGCUCAACCCCGGGACUGCUUUGGAAACUGUGGUGCUAGAGUGCAGGAGAGGUAAGUGGAAUUCCUAGUGUAGCGGUGAAAUGCGUAGAUAUUAGGAGGAACACCAGUGGCGAAGGCGGCUUACUGGACUGUAACUGACGCUGAGGUGCGAAAGCGUGGGGAGC